GAUGAACGCUAGCGACAGGCUUAACACAUGCAAGUCGAGGGGCAGCACAGGUAGCAAUACCGGGUGGCGACCGGCGCACGGGUGAGUAACGCGUAUGCAACUUACCUAUCAGAGGGGGAUAACCCGGCGAAAGUCGGACUAAUACCGCAUGAAGCAGGGGCCCCGCAUGGGGAUAUUUGUUAAAGAUUCAUCGCUGAUAGAUAGGCAUGCGUUCCAUUAGGCAGUUGGCGGGGUAACGGCCCACCAAACCGACGAUGGAUAGGGGUUCUGAGAGGAAGGUCCCCCACAUUGGUACUGAGACACGGACCAAACUCCUACGGGAGGCAGCAGUGAGGAAUAUUGGUCAAUGGCCGAGAGGCUGAACCAGCCAAGUCGCGUGAGGGAUGAAGGUUCUAUGGAUCGUAAACCUCUUUUAUAAGGGAAUAAAGUGCGGGACGUGUCCCGUUUUGUAUGUACCUUAUGAAUAAGGAUCGGCUAACUCCGUGCCAGCAGCCGCGGUAAUACGGAGGAUCCGAGCGUUAUCCGGAUUUAUUGGGUUUAAAGGGUGCGUAGGCGGCCUUUUAAGUCAGCGGUGAAAGUCUGUGGCUCAACCAUAGAAUUGCCGUUGAAACUGGGGGGCUUGAGUAUGUUUGAGGCAGGCGGAAUGCGUGGUGUAGCGGUGAAAUGCAUAGAUAUCACGCAGAACCCCGAUUGCGAAGGCAGCCUGCCAAGCCAUUACUGACGCUGAUGCACGAAAGCGUGGGGAUCAAACAGGAUUAGAUACCCUGGUAGUCCACGCAGUAAACGAUGAUCACUAGCUGUUUGCGAUACACUGUAAGCGGCACAGCGAAAGCGUUAAGUGAUCCACCUAGGGAGUACGCCGGCAACGGUGAAACUCAAAGGAAUUGACGGGGGCCCGCACAAGCGGAGGAACAUGUGGUUUAAUUCGAUGAUACGCGAGGAACCUUACCCGGGUUUGAACGCAUUCGGACCGAGGUGGAAACACCUUUUCUAGCAAUAGCCGUUUGCGAGGUGCUGCAUGGUUGUCGUCAGCUCGUGCCGUGAGGUGUCGGCUUAAGUGCCAUAACGAGCGCAACCCUUGCCACUAGUUACUAACAGGUAAAGCUGAGGACUCUGGUGGGACUGCCAGCGUAAGCUGCGAGGAAGGCGGGGAUGACGUCAAAUCAGCACGGCCCUUACAUCCGGGGCGACACACGUGUUACAAUGGCGUGGACAAAGGGAAGCCACCUGGCGACAGGGAGCGAAUCCCCAAACCACGUCUCAGUUCGGAUCGGAGUCUGCAACCCGACUCCGUGAAGCUGGAUUCGCUAGUAAUCGCGCAUCAGCCAUGGCGCGGUGAAUACGUUCCCGGGCCUUGUACACACCGCCCGUCAAGCCAUGGGAGCCGGGGGUACCUGAAGUCCGUAACCGCGAGGAUCGGCCUAGGGUAAAACUGG
RNAcentral lists this ribosomal RNA (1436 nucleotides) under uncultured organism. RNAcentral's name for it is "16S ribosomal RNA". It matches the Rfam family "Bacterial small subunit ribosomal RNA". The record is from RNAcentral.